Microcebus murinus (gray mouse lemur) is the source of this 637-nucleotide non-coding RNA. The record is from RefSeq and is a predicted model, not a curated record. NCBI's taxonomy places the organism in Eukaryota, Metazoa, Chordata, Mammalia, Primates, Cheirogaleidae.
GUUCUGCAGAGAGGACAAGGAGAAUAAGGACUGAGAAUAGUCCAUCAGAUUUGUUGGAUAUGAAAUUCCUGGUGACUUUCCAGACAUGAUUUCACGGAGGAUGAAAGAGCCUCAAAAAAUGAGUCCAAAUAACAGUGUACCAUGAAAAAGUUAUCCUGUGUUCUGGAUUAAUGGCUUGUUAAACUCACUGAGAGUUGGUUUAGGUAAAAUACUGUGCAAGUUUCUAUAUGUCAAAGAAAAAUUGCACCAGACAGAGUUAAGCCGUCAAGAAAGACUUUAUUCAAGACUAUUGCAAUAGAGGAGAGAGAUAGAACUCAACUUUCUUAAAACAAAAGAAGAAUCAUCAUGCCAACCAGCAACUGCAGAAGAACUGAAUCCAAAGAAUGCCUGAUUGUAGCAGGAUGUUAAACCAAAUGCACCAGACCUGUGGCUUAUUAAGAAAAAAGCUGAUAUUGAGUCAUCCUUUGGUGGCUGUUGCAUACUGUAUUUUGAGUCCAUAUCUGAGUACUUUCUUUACAUAUUUCUCUGAAUUGAGCUUUGAGAUGUGAAGACAGAAACAAUAAGAUGAAGAUGAAGGAUCACUGGUCCAGAAACAUGGUUCUUCAUAAUUUAUUUCUACUUACUGUAGAAACUUUAA